Molecule: ribosomal RNA, 398 nt
Filed under: uncultured bacterium
Lineage: Bacteria
Description: bacterial SSU rRNA
Rfam family: Bacterial small subunit ribosomal RNA
Source: RNAcentral
AGCGAACGCUGGCGGCGUGCCUAACACAUGCAAGUCGAACGUGAAAGGGAGCAAUCCUGAGUAAAGUGGCGUACGGGUGAGUAACGCGUAGGUAAUCUACCCCAAAGUCUGGAAUAACCGACCGAAAGGUUGGCUAAUACUGGAUAGAGCGAUGGAAUCCGUAAUUGGGUUUUUCGGGAAAGGGAGGAAGCAAUUCCCUUUGCUUUGGGAUGAGCCUGCGUCUCAUUAGCUAGUUGGCGGGGUAAGGCCCACCAAGGCUUUGAUGGGUAGCUGGUCUGAGAGGAUGAUCAGCCACACUGGAACUGAAACACGGUCCAGACUCCUACGGGAGGCAGCAGUGGGGAAUCUUGCGCAAUGGACGAAAGUCUGACGCAGCCACGCCGCGUGAGUGAAGAAGG